RNAcentral lists this ribosomal RNA (732 nucleotides) under uncultured bacterium. RNAcentral describes it as "bacterial SSU rRNA". It matches the Rfam family "Bacterial small subunit ribosomal RNA", at positions 28 to 776 of the family's 1533-position model. The record is from RNAcentral.
GAUGAACGCUGACAGAAUGCUUAACACAUGCAAGUCUACUUGAAGCUAACUUCGGUUAGUGGAGGGUGGCGGACGGGUGAGUAACGCGUAAAGAACUUGCCUCACAGUUUGGGACAACAUUUGGAAACGAAUGCUAAUACCGGAUAUUAUGAUACUUCUGCAUGGAAGAAUCAUGAAAGCUAUAUGCGCUGUGAGAGAGCUUUGCGUCCCAUUAGCUAGUUGGAGAGGUAACGGCUCACCAAGGCGAUGAUGGGUAGCCGGCCUGAGAGGGUGAACGGCCACAAGGGGACUGAGACACGGCCCUUACUCUUACGGGAGGCAGCAGUGGGGAAUAUUGGACAAUGGACCAAAAGUCUGAUCCAGCAAUUCUGUGUGCACGACGAAGUUUUUCGGAAUGUAAAGUGCUUUCAGUUGGGAAGAAGCAAGUGACGGUACCAACAGAAGAAGCGACGGCUAAAUACGUGCCAGCAGCCGCGGUAAUACGUAUGUCGCAAGCGUUAUCCGGAUUUAUUGGGCGUAAAGCGCGUCUAGGUGGUUAUAUAAGUCUGAUGUGAAAAUGCGGGGCUCAACUCCGUAUUGCGUUGGAAACUGUAUGACUAGAGUACUGGAGAGGUAAGCGGAACUACAAGUGUAGAGGUGAAAUUCGUAGAUAUUUGUAGGAAUGCCGAUGGGGAAGCCAGCUUACUGGACAGAUACUGACGCUAAAGCGCGAAAGCGUGGGUAGCAAACAGG